AGGACGAACGCUGGCGGCGUGCCUAAAACAUGCAAGUCGAGCGAGAUCCAUCCGGUGGUAACACUGGUGAAGAUCUAGCGGCGAACGGGUGAGUAACACGUGAGCAACCUGCCCCGAAGUCUGGGAUAACUCGAGGAAACUCGGGCUAAUACCGGAUGUCGUCAUCGGACCGCAUGGUCUGAUGCCGAAAGAUUUAUCGCUUCGGGAGGGGCUCGCGUCCUAUCAGCUUGUGGUGAGGUACGCUCACAGGCUUCGACGGUGCUGGUCUGGAGAGGACGAUCAGCCACACGUGGGACUGGAGAUACCGGCCCAAGCCUCCGUACGGGAGCAGCAGUUAGAAUCGUUGCGCUAAGUGGGACGAAGCCUAGACGCACGACAACGCCGACGGUGGACGGGAA
RNAcentral lists this ribosomal RNA (398 nucleotides) under uncultured soil bacterium. RNAcentral's name for it is "bacterial SSU rRNA". It matches the Rfam family "Bacterial small subunit ribosomal RNA", at positions 26 to 412 of the family's 1533-position model. The record is from RNAcentral.